This 253-nucleotide ribosomal RNA is filed under the name uncultured bacterium. RNAcentral's name for it is "partial 16S ribosomal RNA". It matches the Rfam family "Bacterial small subunit ribosomal RNA", at positions 524 to 776 of the family's 1533-position model. The record is from RNAcentral.
UACAGAGGGUGCGAGCGUUAAUCGGAAUCACUGGGCUUAAAGCGUUCGUAGGCGGAUCUGCAGGCACCUUGUGAAAGCCCCCGGCUCAACCGGGGAACUGCUUGGUGAACCGCAGAUCUUGAGUCAAGUAGGGGUGGUCGGAACGAUAGGUGGAGCGGUGAAAUGCGUAGAUAUCUAUCGGAACGCCAAAGGUGAAGACAGGCCACUGGGCUUGUACUGACGCUGAGGAACGAAAGCGUGGGGAGCAAACGGG